AAAAACUCAAUUUUCUAAGUAUCUCAUUUUGUCAAAACAGACACCAACAAAUAAAAACUUUCCUUUUAAAUGUGAAAUCAAGCCAAGCAAAACAAAUAAAGUGGUGUAGUAAAAGGAUGAAGAACAUAACAACAAAUAUUAGAGUGACGUAGAUAUGUGGUAUGCUGCAAAGAAGAAUGUGGUGGUAGUGCACGGUUGACGGUGGUUGACGGCAGUUAAUGGGAUAGUUGAAAUGACGGUGAUGGCCUCUAUUUAUUGUUUUCUAUUUUUUCUUUUAAUUUUGAAAUAUAUGAUUUUGAGGAUGGAGUUGUGUUGUUGUUUCUUCUUUUCUCAACUUUGUUUUUGUUUAAGAAUCUGUCUUUUAAAAAAAUUCUCUUUUUUCUUUUCUUCCCUUUUUUUUUCUCUGUUGAUUUUAG
This 416-nucleotide long non-coding RNA is filed under the name Cicer arietinum (chickpea). Its description in RNAcentral is "long non-coding RNA (CARI_LNC003295)". The record is from RNAcentral. Lineage: Eukaryota; Viridiplantae; Streptophyta; Magnoliopsida; Fabales; Fabaceae.